RNAcentral lists this long non-coding RNA (1198 nucleotides) under Athene cunicularia (burrowing owl). Its description in RNAcentral is "lncRNA (ENSACUG00000000510.1)". Lineage: Eukaryota; Metazoa; Chordata; Aves; Strigiformes; Strigidae. The record is from RNAcentral.
AGAGGCAAACCCAUUCACUGAGUGGAGGAGAAUCCCUUAGACAAGAGUGCAGUGUUAGAAAUGAGAUCAGAUGCAGGUUUUGACUGUACACCUUGGUCAGCAGCAAGCACUGAAGAGACAAAUCGAGUUCCUUUAAAAUUUGGCAGAAAAUGUGUCUUUUCCCAGCCUCCAAUGGAUGCACAGUUUCUCUUCAAUUAAAUUGUUAAUUUGUUCUAAAAAUCAGGUCCGUCCACUGACAAUAGAGGAAGUUGAAAUUGUGUAGAUUGAAAGGAUUGUAUUCUAAAGGCUUGAAACGUUAGCACAGAGCUUUGGAAAUUACUGACAAGAAUAUGGAGCACUAUUUUACUUCAAAGCACUUCACAAAUAUCCACUGGCUGACCCCCUUCACUGUUCCCUUGCCAGAGAAGAGGCACACUUGAGAGAGAAAGCUAUCACAAGAUGAUGUGAAAACUGGGAAUUCAAGCCAAAGCUUUCAUUAGAAUUUGUAGGUUCCUCUGGUGCUUUCUGCAUGUUAAAAAAGAUCUCUUCCUUUCUGCGUCUGCAUUUGAAAUAGCUAAGUGGUGAUGCAGAAGAAAGGUGAGAACUUCUAAUAGCAGGGUUAGAGCCUUGUGACGUUUUAUGCAAAUAUGUCACGAAACUUUAAAUAUAAUGAAUAGUCAUGGGGCACUUCUGCAGCAGUCUCGGACUGCCAACACGUGUCAGCCUCGCUGAAUUAUUAUUUUCUUUGUGGACUCAAAUUUCCAUUUAAAAAUUAUCAUCAGAACAGCCUAACAUACUUCAGUCCAUCUGGUCGUUUAGACGCUAAAGGUCCUGUCCAUGGAGCACCCUUAUGGAGCGUUUUGUUUUAUUUCAAUACGUAUGCUCAGCAAUUUUGAUGUUGAAUGUUGUUUAGUAAUUGACAACAUUUCCCCCAAAUUUCCAGUAUGUAUUUAAUCAUUGAAUUGUUUUCAGGUAUAAAUCAGGAUAAAUCUGGGUCUGUUGGAGUCAGAGUCCAGUCUAUCCAUUCCCACCCUUUAAUGCAGUAGCUUUAUGGUAAGCUAUAGUAUCAUAGUCUCAGGAACUUCAUGAAAUGUAACACAGCUGUGUGUACAGAUAAUCACGGAAAGUAAAAACUACUCCAUUAAUAUUUGGAGUCAUAAAAGACAUAGUCUUGGACUUGUUUAGCUACAGCUCACUUUCUCUGGUUUGGUUUUGUCUU